AAGCCAACUCCAAGAUUAAUCUUCCCUGAAGAUCCGUUGAAGACUACAACGUUGAUAGGCUGGGUGUGUAAGCGGUGAAAGCCGUUUAGCUGACCAGUACUAAUAGAUCGUUCGUCUUACUUUACAA
This 127-nucleotide ribosomal RNA is filed under the name Sulfurospirillum sp. RNAcentral's name for it is "partial 23S ribosomal RNA". It matches the Rfam family "Bacterial large subunit ribosomal RNA", at positions 2790 to 2925 of the family's 2925-position model. Lineage: Bacteria; Pseudomonadati; Campylobacterota; Epsilonproteobacteria; Campylobacterales; Sulfurospirillaceae. The record is from RNAcentral.